CAGUAGCCACGGUAAUACAGAGGGUGCGAGCGUUAAUCGGAUUUACUGGGCGUAAAGCGUGCGUAGGCGGCUUUUUAAGUCGGAUGUGAAAUCCCUGAGCUUAACUUAGGAAUUGCAUUCGAUACUGGGAAGCUAGAGUAUGGGAGAGGAUGGUAGAAUUCCAGGUGUAGCGGUGAAAUGCGUAGAGAUCUGGAGGAAUACCGAUGGCGAAGGCAGCCAUCUGGCCUAAUACUGACGCUGAGGUACGAAAGCAUGGGGAGCAAACAGGAUUAGAGACCCCAGUAGUCCCUGUCUCUUAUAU
Molecule: ribosomal RNA, 301 nt
Filed under: uncultured bacterium
Lineage: Bacteria
Description: partial 16S ribosomal RNA
Rfam family: Bacterial small subunit ribosomal RNA
Source: RNAcentral